GUCAGGUUGGCCGAGCGGUCUAAGGCCCAGACUUAAGUUCUGGUCCACAAUGGUGGGCGUGGGUUCGAAUCCCACACCUGACA
RNAcentral lists this transfer RNA (83 nucleotides) under Dendronephthya gigantea. Its description in RNAcentral is "tRNA-Leu". It matches the Rfam family "tRNA". Rfam says of the family: Transfer RNA (tRNA) molecules are approximately 80 nucleotides in length. Their secondary structure includes four short double-helical elements and three loops (D, anti-codon, and T loops). The record is from RNAcentral. Lineage: Eukaryota; Metazoa; Cnidaria; Anthozoa; Malacalcyonacea; Nephtheidae.